GAUGAACGCUGGCGGCGUGCCUAAUACAUGCAAGUCGAACGAACAGACGCGGAGCUUGCUCCUCUCAAUUUAGCGGCGGACGGGUGAGUAACACGUGGAUAACCUACCUAUCAGACUGGGAUAACUUCGGGAAACCGAAGCUAAUACCGGAUAAUAUAUUGAACCGCAUGGUUCAAUAGUGAAAGACGGUUUUGCUUUCACUUAUAGAUGGAUCCGCGCUGCAUUAGCUAGUUGGUAAGGUAACGGCUUACCAAGGCAGCGAUGCAUAGCCGACCUGAGAGGGUGAUCGGCCACAUUGGAACUGAGACACGGUCCAGACUCCUACGGGAGGCAGCAGUAGGGAAUCUUCCGCAAUGGGCGAAAGUCUGACGGAGCAACGCCGCGUGAGUGAUGAAGGUUUUCGGAUCGUAAAACUCUGUUGUUAGAGAAGAACAAGUGCGUAAGUAACUGUGAGCGUCUUGACGGUACCUAACCAGAAAGCCACGGCUAACUACGUG
RNAcentral lists this ribosomal RNA (497 nucleotides) under uncultured bacterium. Its description in RNAcentral is "partial 16S ribosomal RNA". It matches the Rfam family "Bacterial small subunit ribosomal RNA", at positions 28 to 507 of the family's 1533-position model. The record is from RNAcentral.